This 460-nucleotide ribosomal RNA is filed under the name uncultured bacterium. Its description in RNAcentral is "partial 16S ribosomal RNA". It matches the Rfam family "Bacterial small subunit ribosomal RNA", at positions 338 to 795 of the family's 1533-position model. The record is from RNAcentral.
CCUACGGGAGGCAGCAGUGAGGAAUAUUGGUCAAUGGACGAGAGUCUGAACCAGCCAAGUAGCGUGAAGGAUGACUGCCCUAUGGGUUGUAAACUUCUUUUAUAUGGGAAUAAAAUGUUCCACGUGUGGGAUUUUGUAUGUACCAUAUGAAUAAGGACCGGCUAACUCCGUGCCAGCAGCCGCGGUAAUACGGAGGAACCGAGCGUUAUCCGGAUUUAUUGGGUUUAAAGGGAGCGUAGGUGGAUUGUUAAGUCAGUUGUGAAAGUUUGCGGCUCAACCGUAAAAUUGCAGUUGAAACUAGCAGUCUUGAGUACAGUAGAGGUGGGCGGAAUUCGUGGUGUAGCGGUGAAAUGCUUAGAUAUCACGAAGAACUCCGAUUGCGAAGGCAGUUCACUGGACUGCAACUGACACUGAGGCUCGAAAGUGUGGGUAUCAAACAGGAUUAGAUACCCCAGUAGUC